Molecule: ribosomal RNA, 365 nt
Filed under: uncultured Hydrogenophaga sp.
Lineage: Bacteria; Pseudomonadati; Pseudomonadota; Betaproteobacteria; Burkholderiales; Comamonadaceae
Description: bacterial SSU rRNA
Rfam family: Bacterial small subunit ribosomal RNA
Source: RNAcentral
GGCCUUCGGGAGCCAGAACACAGGUGCUGCAUGGCUGUCGUCAGCUCGUGUCGUGAGAUGUUGGUUAAGUCCCGCAACGAGCGCAACCCUUGUCAUUAGUUGCCAUCAUUUAGUUGGGCACUCUAAUGAGACUGCCGGUGACAAACCGGAGGAAGGUGGGGAUGACGUCAAGUCCUUAUGGCCCUUAUAGGUGGGGCUACACACGUCAUACAAUGGCCGGUACAAAGGGUCGCAAACCCGCGAGGGGGAGCCAAUCCAUCAAAGCCGGUCGUAGUCCGGAUCGCAGUCUGCAACUCGACUGCGUGAAGUCGGAAUCGCUAGUAAUCGUGGAUCAGCAUGUCACGGUGAAUACGUUCCCGGGUCUU